Molecule: long non-coding RNA, 3243 nt
Filed under: Sus scrofa (pig)
Lineage: Eukaryota; Metazoa; Chordata; Mammalia; Artiodactyla; Suidae
Description: lncRNA (ENSSSCG00000050358.1)
Source: RNAcentral
CUUUUUGCCUUUUGAGGGCCGCUCCCGAGGCAUAUGGAGGUUCACAAGCUAGGGAUCUAAUCAGAGCUGUAGCCGCCGGCCUACACCAGAGCCACAGCAACACGGGAUCCAAACUGCAUCUGCGACCUACACCACAGCUCACGGCAACGCUGGAUCCUUAACCCACUGAGCAAGGCCAGGGAUCGAACCUGCAACCUCAUGGUUCCUAGUCGGAUUCGUUAACCACUGAGCCACGACGGGAAUUCCUCCCGGCUCUUUGCUCUAUGAUGAUGACUAGGAUCAUGUCCUGCCUGAUAACGUCAUCAGUGUGAGGUCACCAGGCCCUGACUUCCUCCCACAGCACAGGGGCUAGUCCUUAAAGCAUUUUAUCUGAUUUUAUUCACCAGAAACCACUCCAAAAAUGGGUUUGGUGAGGUGUCAAAUUCUUUUUUAAGCAAGUCUUUCUACAUACCAACAACAGCCAGUUAGCAAAGAUUAUGGGAGAGAGAUAUAAGAUCCCUUUCAUAACAAAAAUUCUAAAAAUAAGAUAUCUGUCUAGAACUGAGCAUUAAAAAUAUGCCAGGAGUUCCUGUUGUGGCUCAGCAGGUUAAGAACUGAUGUAGUGUCCACAAGGAUGUGGUUUGAUCCCCAGCCUUGCUCAGUAAGUUAAGGAUCCAGUGCUGUCGCAAGCUGCGGCAUAGGUCACCGAUACGGCUCAGAUCCAGCAUUGCUGUGGCGUGGUGUAGGCCAGCAGCUGCAGCUCCAAUUUGACUCCUAGCCUGGGAACUUCCAUAGGCUGCAGGUGCAGCCAUAACAAGAAAAAAAAAAUUGCCAAAAGGAGUUCCAGUGUGGCUCAGCAGGUUAAGUAUAGAGCAUUGUCACUGCCAUGGACCAUUGUCACUGCUGUGGAGCAGUUUCAGUCCCUGGCCUGGGAGCUUCCACAUACUAUUUCAAGUCUUUAGAAAAUGAUCGAAAAUUAAUACCCAACAGUAUUUGUUUCUGGAACUUGGCAAAAAUGAUCCUAAACAUCACCUGGAAUAAUAAAUAUGUGAGAAGAGUCAAAAAAAUUUUUAAAGCAACGCCAUAGAGGGGACAAUACCCUCCAAUUGGAGACUUUACCCUCCAAAUAUAAAACCAUAUACUAAAGUUCAGUGAUUGACUGAGCAGUGGCCUGGGGUGGGGGGAGUCUAUCAAUGCAACAGAAAGGACAAGCCAGAAACAGAUUCAAGUAUAAUUCGUCAUUUAAUAUGCAGUAAAAGUGGCAUUUCAAAUCAGUGCAGCAAGACCAAUGAGUGACCAAUGGAUUGAAGCACCUGGUUAAAACUUGGAAAAAAUAAUAAUAAAUUAGAUCCCCACCCCAAAACAUUCACCAGAUUAAAAUGGAUGUGACGAAGAUAAAACAUGAAACCAGAAGGUUACAAGAAGAAAAUGCCAGCAGAUGUCUGCACCGUCGUGGGGCGGGAUAGGAAUGGUUCCUCUCCUGCUGCAUGAUCCCCAGACCCCCAGGCUCAGCUCAGAAGAGGGGCCUCCUCCCCUGGCCCAGCCCUGGGCCCCAGGGUACCCAGCCCUGCUCCCCCCGACCCCGGCCACCUCUGGCAGCCAGUGAGGCGUAAGCAGCAGGACCCUCUACACACUGGCCCAGGGGAGGGUACAGUCUUUCUGCUCAUGAAGGAAGAGCCACAUGACAAUCUGAUGGUGAUGCCUUUUGAGUAUAAGCUUUUCUGGCCAACUGGCCAAAGAGAGCCCAGAGGGAAAAAGGACCUGGAUUUCCAAAGUUGCAAUGCCUCUUCCCAUUCUAAGCAAAGAUUCACUUUUGCAUCUACUUCUGUACUUCGAAGUUUAUAUUCUUCUUAAAAAGAAACCAACAUGGCAGAAGCAUCAGGCCCCACAAAACCUGGACCCAUGCUGCCCCUACAGUUUCACCACUCUGCAUAGGCCCUCACUACAGCAGGAUAUGUUAGGAAGAGAUCCUCAAUAAGAAGUCAUGAAAGAUAAUGGAAUAUUACUCAGCCAUAAAAAAGAACAAAACAAUACCAUUUGCAGCAACACAGAUGGACCUAGAGAUGAUCACACUACAUCGGACAAAGACAAAUACCAUAUAUCACUUAUAUGUGGCAUCUUUAAAAAAAUGAUACAAAUGAACUUUUUACAAAACAGAAACAGACUCAAAGAUUUCAAAGCCAAACUUAUGGAUGGUUACCAAAGGGGAAACGUUGGGGGAGGAAUAAAUUAAGGGGUUGGGAUUAACAUAUACACACCACUAUAUAUAAAAUAGAUAAGUAAUGAGGACCUACUUAUAGCCCAGGAAACACUACUCAAUAUUCAGUAAUAACCUAUAUGGGAAAAGAAUCUGAAAAAGAAUGGAUGUAUGUAUAUGUAUAACUCACUCACUUUGCUGUUCACCUGAAACUAACACAACAUUGGAAAUCAACUACACCCCAACGAAAACUUUUAAAAAGAAUUCGUGAAAUACUUACACAUUUAUAACACACAGUAUAUAUGAUGGUUAGAGCACAGCUGGUGAAAUUGCGCAGACUCUCAAGAGUUUCGGUUCCCUUUUCUGUAACAUGGGGGUUUUCAUACUUUGCAGAUUGGGAAGAGUUGAUAAGAUCAGAUACGUAAAGCCGCUAAGAACAGUACCUAUUCUAUGGGAGUGAAAUCUAACAGAAAGAAGGCCCCCCAAAACACAUGCUCAGAUGGUUGCCUCUGGGCAGCAAGAUAACGAGAGGUUUUGCUUUACUUCUUUUUUGUCUGUAUUUUUUAAUCUAUUAGCAAUAAGUACAUACUCCUUGAGAAGGAAAAAAAAAAAGGAAAAAGAAAGUUAUUUGGCAGUGAUCCUAGUUAGUAUUAACUCAUUCUUAAAUGAGUGGGGGAUUUUUUUUUGUUUGUGUUUGUUUUUGGUUUUGUUUGCUUUUUACGGUUGCACCUGCAGCAUAUGGAAGUUCCCAGGCUAGAGGUCGAAUUGGAGCUGCACCUGCCGGCCUACACCACUUCCACAGCAACUCGGGUUCAUUUGUAACCUGCGCUGCAGCUUGUGGCAACACCAGAUCCUUAACCCACUGAGGGAGGCCAGGAAUCAAACCUGCAUCCUCUCGGAUAUUAGUCAGGUUCAUAACCCUCUGUGCUGCAAUGGGAACUCCCUUAAAUGAGGGUUAAAUGGCUCUGCGACAAGAGCAGUUUCAGAUUUGGGAGCUGACCUGUCACACUGUCCACAGGGACAAUGACUGAAACUGCGGAUGAAGUUAAAUGGGAGGCAAGGACCCC